Molecule: long non-coding RNA, 7434 nt
Organism: Lycium barbarum (goji berry)
Lineage: Eukaryota; Viridiplantae; Streptophyta; Magnoliopsida; Solanales; Solanaceae
Exons: 3
Source: RefSeq, a predicted model, not a curated record
AUAUAUAUUAUGUGGAUGUGUCGUUUCUUUUUUUUUGUUUGCUAUCCUGAUUACUCUCCUCUUUUUUCGUCUUCUACUUUCAAUUGCAGAGUUCGUGAUGAAAGAUCAUUUUGUAGUGAAAAAUAACGAGAAGGCCUAUAUCGGAUUCAUUGUUGGUGGACAAUAACGGUAACAAAAUGUCCUUUAAUUGUAAUUAAAAAAAACUUCAAAUUAAGAUUUUAACUAAAUAUCUUUGACUAAGAGAUGUGUGUAAUGGAUGAGAAAAAGAGUUAAAAGCGACAAAACAAAAAAAAAAACUUAUGGAAGUGGUCCAUGUUCUUUUUUCCAACAAUUGCUUAAGUUGUAGCAUACUUUUUGUUGUUUUGUUAAUGGGUCAUAUCUCUUUUCCGGUGUUAAUUAAUGGGUAAACAUUAGAAUUGAUAUUUUGUAGACUUGAAUGGAGAAAAAAGUGUGAAAUCGAGGGGAAGUCCAGAGCACCAAUACAAACACCAUAUGUGCAUCCAAAUUUAAUUCCAUGGAAUGGUACAUUCAUGGAAUGGUGCAUUCAUAUUAUUUUAUUGACAUUUUGAUAUUAUGUUAAGAAUAAGAUAUUUGUGUAAGCCACGAUAUUUUAAUACUGUGUUCGCAGGAUUUAUGAAGACACAUUUUAAUUCAACAUGUAAGAAACUUCACUUUGACAUCAUCCUGAAGCUAAGAUUAUUUAUUUCAUCAUGAAGAAAUAUAUGAAAUCACUCAAACCUUCUAAUAGAAAUAAUGUUCUAAUUUGACCAGUUUUUGCAGUCAAAAGCAUUUAAAAGUCAACAAAUUGUUCAAUUUGUUUUCCUUUCCAUGUUCAUGUUAAGGUAUUGGUUUUCCUAUUAAAAAAUGUCACAACCCAAUUUAGGAUUGCACGAGCACCUACCUUCCCCUCCUUGAUAGGCGAACCCUCAAUUAAUAACACAGUAAUCAAGUAAAGACAAUAGUGUUGAGAUAGCUAGAUAUUUAUGUACGCAGAUGUAUACACAACAGCUAGAACUCAAUCUAGCAGCUAGAACUUAGUCUAGUAGUAAGUUAUCAGUCUAGUAGUUAGUUAGUCUAGUCAGAUAAUUAGUUAGUUAGUGAACACAGAUGUGAGUUGGUUAGUUAGGAUAUUUUGAUCAAGUUAGACAGCUGUAUACAUCUAUCAUUUUCCUAUCUUCAUACUUGUAUAUAUUGAACAACACACAUAGAAAUGAAUUCAGUUGAUUUCGCAUACUUUCUCUCAUUUGCUCUUGCUCCUUCUCAGUUGCACUUAGCUCAAUAGCUUGAGCUGUUCAACAACGACAGAUUUAACUACUUGAAUUCAAUUGCUCUAAACUUCAAAUGGUAUGCGUAUAUCGCGAUCCUAAUCUCAAUUUUGAUCACUGGUUUGAUUCCAUCACUUUUCUGAGAUUUCUGUUGUUUUGUUGUUUUUCUUCGAAAAACUGCAAAUUCAUGAUCGUAACGGAUUGUUGUCCUCAAAUUGCGGUUGACACCCAAUUUUGUCCCGUCUUCCCCAAAAUACUUAUUUUAUGCUUCUAAUAUUUUUGGCAACUUAAGAAAUAAUUAUUUAUAUUUCACUAUAAUUAUUAGCUUUUUACCGGCGUUUCAUUAUUCCAUUGCAGUCACUAGCUGUCAUUAUUUUUAUUACCACUACCACUAUUAUCCUUAUCCAGGUAUUAUUAUUAUUACCAGUAUUAUUAUAAUUCGCAUUAUAAUCAUUUCAGCAUUUUUACCAUCCUAUGCACACGCAUCACAUUUAUUUUCGUGCAAUUAAAUAAUAGCGUUUAUUUACUGUUGAACUUUUAAAAUAUUAUCGCACGGUUAUUGCGACGUCUUAUAAUUUUAUCUGAGCACUAAUAAUUACAUAUUUUAUAUUAGGUGAUAUUUUAGCACACAUUAGUGUAUAGUUAUUUAAAAUGGGUCUUUUAUUUAAAUUUAAAAACCCAAAUCGUUCUUUCAUUCAGCCAAUAUUAGCCCAAACCCGAGUCCAAUCAAUCCACAUUAUUUUUUCGGACCAGCCCAUUGUCAUCUAAAAUAAUACCCAGCCCAAAAAUUACCAGCCCAUUCCAUCAACCCACUACCCGCCAACCCGAUCGGCCCACGUUUUAAUUCACCCAUCCAGCCCAUUAUCCACCGUCCGACCCGGCUCACACCACAUUAUUCAUCUUCUAAACCUAAUGAACCCAUCUUCAGCCGCCCUACCCCCAUCUCCUCUCUCUCCUCUCUCUCUCUCCUUCCUCUCUCUCCUCUAUUUUUAGCUAAACUCCCUUUUUCUUUAGCCAUGGACAGAACUUUCGUGCCAUUUUAGUGCAAGUCUUCAUCUCUUUCUUCUGCAAGCAUGAGCGCCUCUCCUUAUUUCCUAUCCCUUUCCUCUUAAAACAAUAGUUUCAACGUCCCUCAACCAUGGCAGCCUUAAUCUUUCCGUUUGAAGCAAAAGGAUCUAUCCCUUGUACCCGAGACUGAUGCAUUUCAUAAGCCAUGUGAAGAUUUUUCCAUUUCACACUUAAAAACGCUUGAGCUCCCUUCAAAUCUGAAACGAAAUCUCACCAUUUUGGUGAGGGAUCCGAAGCGUAUCUCAGAAAUUUUGUACAUUUUUUUUAAAAUGGGUGUCUUGACUCGAUUUUGAAUAACAAAUAUCUUAAAUCUCGCCCCAAUUUCUUCUUUUAGAACCCGAGGCAAAACCCUAAUCCUAUCCUAUAAAUUCAAAGGCAUGAGUCUAUUAAGGGAGGUUUUUUUUUAGCAGCCCGAAUCCCCUAAAAAUAUUAAUCCUUAAUCACUGCUUCUUGAUAUUAAUCGGAAAUACCAAACCAUUUUUUAUUCCCUUUUUGCCCUUGUUGCUGUUUCGAAUCCGAGUGCAUGCAAACUCGGAAGUUGUAGUGUGUCGAGGGUAUAUCCGAGAUUCAAGCCUAGUUCGCUGCACUUGGAAAAGGCGAACCCCUCCCCUUUAAUUACCUUUUUUUCUGAAAUUGUUUAGUUGUGAGUUGUUUAUGUGUUUUAUUAUAUGUCGUUUCUGCUUUUUAUAUUUUGAUUAGCAUAGUAUUCUUUAGCUUAGGUUGAUUAUGCUAGCUUAGUUCUUCCCUAUAUAUGCAAUCUUGGGUUAACAAUGUGUUUAGGUACAUGUUAUCAAUGGCUAAUUUGAUCAGUUAUAGGUUCAGUUUGGUUAGAGAUUUGCUAAUCGUGUUUGUAUGCCUAAAUCUUGUAUGAUCAGUUAGCCUAUUGUCUGUUUUAAGGCAAAUAUGAGUCAUUUACUUAUAAUGUGUUGAGUCAACUGGUCCAGUCAAGCAUGUUCAUGCAUUAAUUCGGUUUUUGUUAAAUCUGAAGCUGUUUUGCAUAAAGUGUAGACAGUGGAGUUGAAAAUGUUGGCCUGGUCGAGACACUGUUAUUCCUAACUGUUGCUGCCCUGAGUCCAGUUUCUUUGUUUUCUUUGUCAUCUGGGGCAUGUCAUUUAAUCUGUAUCGUGUAGAAGUAGUCCUUGGUUUGAUUAAAUGGGAUAGUCUGAUAAGUAUGCUUUAGGUUUGGAUCCUGAGAUUGCUGACGCGAGAACCGAAUGUCUGUGCAUAAAAUUGAGUUAAAUAUGCUAUCUCAAGCUGGUUAGCUAUGUCGAAUAUUUUAUAGGUCUUUGAACCUGUUAAAUGCUUCUGUCUGUGGAAUAGGGAUUCAUAUGCAAUGACACUGCUUUAUUUGAAGUCUAUGUUGAGUCUACAAUAGUUCUGGUAUUCUUGAUAGGCCUUGUUAUUUGUUCCCUCGAAUAAGUCACAUGAGAGUAGCCAUUCGUCUCUACUUGUUGUCCGAAUCUAUGUCAAACUGAAUGCUAGACUUACCUCUCUGAUCUAAAAUGUACACUGCACAGGAUCGUAAGUCUUUGGUUUGACAGCAUGGCUGGUAUAUUUAAAGCAUGCUUACACUAGUUUAAAGCUGAAUCUAGAUCCAUUGCAUUACUCUUUAAUGGCUCUGUUCCGAAAUCGUGAAAAUCUAUCCUAUCUGUUUUGGUUGUUGGUUAGUCGUAUGAGUCUCAGAAUGUUGUUUUUUGUUUUGCACUAGUGAGCAUACUGAUGAGGCCUGCUUGCAUACUCUGCCCAUUUGGGUUUAUGUCCAUGUUUCAAAAUAACUCCGCAGCAUUUGCUUAAUUGGGUCUACGUGUACUACUUAUAUCUUGAGAUUUAUUGGGCAUCUACUGCUCCUUUGCUGAACCUGUUAUGACUUUAUUUUUUAACCAAGAUGUGAAAUAUGCAUAAGUCUGAUUUCGUGUGUGGAUAUGCUUGUGUACAGACUAUUCCCAGUCUCAUAUACACUUCAGGGUGUAUGAGUUGGGUUGCUUUAUGUAUACACGGCAUAUCACUCUCUAUUUGAUUGUGAUAAUCUACUGUUAUUAAAUUUUGGGCCUUCCUUUCCUCUUACCGUGUUGGGCCUCUAUAUGUAUAAUAGACUUAUUCGAAAUCCGGCCCAGUUUUCCUAUUCUCGUGAAGUCACUCGUUUGGGCCGCGAAUUGUUUGUCUUAAGCCGAAUUAAAUUCAAUUUUCUUAUUGUUAUGUGAUGGACUCUCUUUGAGUUAUGAAUUUUGCAUUAUUAAUUAUCUAGACCCACACUAAUCCUUUUCUUUUGUUUUUAUGCAUGACCAUCGCAUACGAGUCCGAGGGACUCGUUCUUCUUCCGCAUUCGGUGUUGGGCUAAAAGCCCAACGAAAUCUUCUCGGGUCCUCCCCAUCAGUUCUGUCCGCAACAAAGAAAAUAGAAAACAAAAAUUCUGGGCCAAAGCCCAAUAGACAGGAACAGCCGCAGCAGUCUAUAUAAAGAAAUUACUGGGCUAAAAGCCCAAUAGCAGCAGAUCAGCAGUCCUAAAAUGGGCUGAGCCCAUUUAAUAUCAUUUGCUCCUUUAUUUCAUUUUAUGCAUUUGAUUUGUAUUUGUGCAACUAAUACUUUACUUUGUUUAUUUCCUUAGCUAGAAUGAACCUUAGCAAAAUUAGUGGGGUUUAGUUUUAGUAAUGGGCUCAAGUAUUUUAUAAAUAACUCUUCAAGUUUGAAUCAAUCACGCAUAUUUUUAAUUAAGUAUAGUUAAUAAAAAAUAACAAAAGGAUAAAGAAAAUUCACAUUAGCUAUUUUUGUAUUUUGUUUAUACUCCUAAAUCGCAAAAAUCAAUUAAUACCUCGCCACUCGAGAUAUCUCAAAUAUUUAUUAAAACGCUGUACAAACCCACAUUUUCUUCUACUAUAUGCAAAUUAUUAUAUUUUAUGCAAAUCUUAUUUUAAAUACCAUUAUUAUUUAAAGCCUUAGCAACAUUUAUAAAUUUUAUUUUAAAUGGCAUUUGAAGUCUCCUUUUAUGCAAAAUUAUUAUAUUUUCUACAAGUCUUAUUUUAAAUAGCCUUUUUUUAAGCCUUAGCAAUAUUUAUAAGUCUAUUUUUAAAUAGCAUUAUUAUAUUUUCCUUUAAAAUCUUAGCAACACUUACAAGCCAAUUUCUUAAAAUUUAAAUGCUACAUUUGCAUCUUUAACUUUAAUUAAUUAACCUAAGUUUGGACGGUAACCGUGAUUAACGGAUUCUAAAGGAUGCCUAACCCCUUCCCUUUAGGAUAAUCUAGAACUCUUACCUAGAAUCAUAAAUUAAGUAGACCAUUAACGGCGGUUUAGUUAGCCUUUACCUUAGUUAAUAAAUUAGGUGUCCUAAUUCACCGUUAAACUAAUUAGGUGGCGACUCCUUAAAAUAAAUAAAAAAUAGGAAUCACCAAUAUGUUGUACUCUAAUUUAACCCGUUUAAGUGGGGUAUAACAAUUGCUACAUAGUUCAUACGUUGUUAGUUCAUUUAUGCAAUUACACACUUUAUGUUUUCAAUUCAAUUCUGCAAAUUCGAGCUUCAAUUCGCAAUUUAGUGAUUUUCAACCCUAGUUUAAUUCUUCAGUUUACUGUGAGUUUUCAAUUCAACUCAAUUCUUCAGCUUGAGGUUCAUAUUAUCUAGAUUUUAGCAUCACUAAUUGUGACUUGAUCUAAUCUCUUCAAUAUCAUUCGAACUCCAAUACAUCAUGGCUAUAGAACAGACUGAGGAAACAAGCCAAACGAACUAAGCAAGUAGAGAAACCAUUGAUCCAACAAAUAUUUUGUAUGUACAUCCAUAUGAAACUGCAGGAACCACACUACUUCCUAGUGUUUUUGAUGGAACUAGAUACAGGUCAUGGCGUGGUUCAGUACUUAAGGCUCUUUCAGUCAAAAACAAAACUGGAUUCAUUAAUGGGAAAUGCGCAAGGCCAGCUGAAGAUUCACCUGCUUUUGGAAAUUGGGAGGUGUGUGAUGAUAUGGUAACCGCUUGGAUUUUGAAUUCAUUCUCAAGAGAUAUAGCAGACAGUCUCCAAUAUGUAAACAAUGCUAAGGAACUUUGGCAAGAGCUAGAAGACAUAUAUGAUCAGACGUAUGGUGCAAAAUUGUAUCAAUUACAAAAGGAGAUCAAUGAUCUUUCACAAGGAAACCUUGACAUCACUAGCUACUACACCAGGAUGAAGAAACUCUGGGAGGAACUGAAUACUUUGUGCAUUCACACAACUUUCACUUGUCAAUGCAUUUGUGGUGCCAAGACUGGAAUGCUCAAAGCUGAGCAAGAUAGGAGAUUGAUCCAAUUCCUCAUGGGAUUAAAUGAAGUUUAUACAACUGUGAGGGGGAGUAUCUUGAUGAUGAACCCACUACCAAACAUUGCACAAGCCUUUUCUAUCUGAGUUCAAGAUGAAAAACAAAGAGAGGUCAAGCCUAGGAAUCAACUAGCUUUUGAAUCAACAUCUAUGAAUGUUCAUGGUCAUGGAGCAGCAAAUGCAAGCUUUAGGACAAACUACCAAACCAACAGACAAAACCAAUAUAGCAAACCAAAUCACAGUAAGUCUACAAGGCAAUAUAGAGCAAGUGGAUCAGGCACUUACAGAGAAGGACACAACUACAAUAGGACUCAACUGUUUUGUGACCACUGCAAGAAGCCUGGUCAUACUAAGGAUAAGUGUUACAGGUUGCAUGGAUUUCCUCAGGAUUUUAAAUUCACCGAAGGGAAAAAUAUAGGUUCUGUUGCAAUAUCCAUGGAGGAUACAAUGAGGUCACUGAAAGGAAGAAUGAUGAGUUUAAUCAGAAGGCGCAUGAUAACUAUCAGAAAAAUAAUCAAGUUGUACAGAGUCUGACCAAGGAACAAUACAAUCAACUGCUCACGUUCCUCAUCAACAACUUUCCACCAGGAAAUGCAAAACAUACUCCAAACAACAUCACUAGUGGAGCAGUGAACUUUGCAGGCCCCUUCUCUGAAGAGGCCUCUGGAGAUUGGUAGGGCCAGAAAUGGCCUAUACUACGUUUGCUCAAAGUGUCACAAUCGCAGUUCAUCGGCAGGGUGUAACAUCUCAAAUUCUGUACCUAGUCUAUCUCAGUCAUUUACUUGUCCUUUCAUAUGUGUUGAUCAAACUCCAUCAUCAUCAUCAC